CUCAAUUACACAAAUUUCCUAUGAGGAUAUAUGUAAUUUAGGUUUGAGCUUCAGUAAUUGAGUUUAUUCAUUGUACUUGGAUCAUAUUUUAAAUAAUGAAUUUUGGGAUAUUAGAGGGAUUUACUGAUUAUGUCAGUAAAAUAAUUUUCAACAUAUUAGUACAUAAACGUAGAUUUUGGAGUGAGAUUUUGUGAGAAGUCUUCAAAAGAAUGUUAGGCUGUACCUAGGAUGUGAAUCUUGCAGUAAAUUUUAUUUAUUAUUUCUUGAAUUUCGUAUAGACAGUUUUUUGUAGAUUUAAACUAUUUUUUCAUCUAUUUAACUCAUGGAAUCAGAAAUAGAUUAGUUUGAUGUCGGGUAAUUAUUUCAUGCACAAGAAACUUAUAUGCAACAUCUGUUGGUUGAAUGAGGAGCAUCAUUGGAACCGUUAGCCAAAAAUGAAAUGUAAUUGGAAAAGAAAUUCAAGGAAAUAAUAUAGGAUGAAUAUGAGGGAGUGACAUCAAUAAAGAAUGGGCUACUCUUUUCUACGUCUUAUGCCAAUUUAAAUUGUAUAUUAUAUUAAUGACUACUUUCAUAUGUGUGUGUGUAUUAUUGUUUCUAACUCCGUUGAUAAGUAAGAUUCUCCCAUUGAUACAUGUAAUUCAAUUUUUUCUUCCUGACCUGUAUAGUAAUAGACGAGAAGAGAUCAAUGUUGCAUAGACUCAAUAGUUUGUUUACAAUAUUAUAAUACUUGUGUUUUCAAUGUUGUAGUUGGCCCUUAUCUUGGGCUGAUCUUAAUGUGCAGCAAGAGUACAUUCGAGGAAUCAAUUUCUCGAAUUUCAAUACUCUUGUAUGCUAUCAGUCCAUUGAUCAGUUGGUAAUAUGGAUUGCAUCAUUUGAACGCCACUUUAAUAAGUUGAGGUUUUCUCUGCAGAUUCAGGAUGAUGAUCUUUCUAAUUCAAAAAAUUCAAGUGUGAGUUGAAAGUAUAGGAAUGGGCAAGAUGACGCUGAUGCUCCUCCAGAGGGAAUAUCUACUGAUCAGGGCAUUCAUUCAAAUGUUGCACAAUAGCUGGAGGUAUAGUUGCUAUUCAAUAUAUAGUUCUAAUUUUCCUGUUGUUAUUCAGUACUUUCCUUCAGACUCCUCCCCUUUCUGUUUUGCUCUGUUUUUCGUUUUCCCCAAUCCUUUAUAGUUAUCUAAUAUGUGCAGUUUAAUCUUUAUUUUCUCAGGAUGGACUCAACGAUAUUCAUGAUCUAGAGAAUUCGUUUGCUGCAUUUCUUGUGAAACCUCUUCGGGCACUAAAGUAUGGUGCAUCUGGUUUGGACAAGCUAGAAAGGCAAAGCACAUUUUGUUUUGGACUUAAAAUCAGAUCAGCCUGCAAUGCAAUGGGAAUAUUUUCAUUGAUAUUUUGUGCCUUUGUAAAUAACAUUUUUUAGCAUAUUGGUAUAUACUUAGCUCGUUGCUCUUGUUACUUUUAGGAAACAAUGCUAAUGCACAAGGAGUUGGUGCAUUCUAGUGGCCUUAACAAACUUAUGGUGGAACUUCAAAUCAAAGGUUGGCAUUUCCUUGAUAAUCCAUCUUGUUAACUACUCAUAUUCUGAGUAUAAGCAUUUUGGGUAAAUUCAAAAAAUACAGUUAUAAGCUUAUAGAGAAACUAAUGCUAGAGCCCCUUUGAGGAAUGAAUAAUUACGUUCUAUGUUGCUCGGACUCUCCAAAAAUGGAGAAGCAUCCGUGUCAAUACAACAUGAUACGGAUACUGACAUGGGAUAUGGAUUGAAUCCUUCGUUUUACACUUGGACACGGCAACAAAAGGGAGAAGAUGGUGGAAGGUUUCUUGCUUCUCCGGCGGCUGAAAAAUUUGUAGAGAGAGAGAAAUUUGGGGAAGACAAGGAAAGACGAUGAGUUUUAAGGAGUUAAAUGGGCUCUUGAGAAGUCCAAAUGAUAGAGUUAAUGAGAGUGUGUUAAAUGGAUUCUUGUGAAGUCUAAUGAAUGUAGUUAUUGAGUUUAUAUAAUUUUUUUAUUUCUUAUAUUUUAUCUUUUACAACAUUUUAUAUUAUACUUAAAAUGAAUUAGUGAUAUAUUAUUU
Molecule: long non-coding RNA, 2060 nt
Filed under: Olea europaea subsp. europaea
Lineage: Eukaryota; Viridiplantae; Streptophyta; Magnoliopsida; Lamiales; Oleaceae
Source: RNAcentral